UCCUAUAAGAAAUUCAACAAACUAGGGAUACUAAAGAUGAUAACACUCAUUAUAUAUCAGUAAAAUUAAAAGGGAUACAUUUAAAUGUUCAAAACUUAACUCAAUAUGCAGAUGUAAAUUGUAAGAAAGCAGCUCUUCGACUGCAAAGUAUACGUGGCCACAUUCUGAUGAGAGCAAAUCUGAAACCCAGAGGCAUAGAAAGCUCGUUGUCAUGGCAACAUUUGAUCAAAAGAUACACGUGCAGACGCCUCCCAAAGCUCGUCCAUUUUCUUAACACUGAAACUUACAUUUUGACCUAAAACAGAUAACUCUCACUCAAUGGAGAAAUUUCACAUGGGAAUUCAUAUUGAAUUCCAGUCAGAUCAAACCUCACCAUCAGAAAAUAUAAAAAAAUUCUGAUCCCAGAAGCCUAACGAUAUUCGCAACAAUUCAUUUCUUUUAGCCAUCAAUCGAAGCCAGAUAUCAG
Molecule: long non-coding RNA, 466 nt
Filed under: Phoenix dactylifera (date palm)
Lineage: Eukaryota; Viridiplantae; Streptophyta; Magnoliopsida; Arecales; Arecaceae
Description: long non-coding RNA (PDAC_LNC021793)
Source: RNAcentral